Molecule: ribosomal RNA, 1250 nt
Filed under: metagenome
Description: bacterial LSU rRNA
Rfam family: Bacterial large subunit ribosomal RNA
Source: RNAcentral
GACACGACCGUACCGCAAGCCGACACUGGUGCGCGAGAUGAGUAUUCUAAGGCGCUUGAGAGAACUCAGGAGAAGGAACUCGGCAAAUUGACACCGUAACUUCGGAAGAAGGUGUGCCUUUAGUAGGUGAACCAUUUACUUGGGGAGCCCAAUGAGGCUGCAAAAAAUCGGUGGCUGCAACUGUUUAUUAAAAACACAGCACUCUGCUAAGACGAAAGUCGACGUAUAGGGUGUGACGCCUGCCCGGUGCUGGAAGAUUAAAUGAUGGGGUGCAAGCUCUUGAUUGAAGUCCCAGUAAACGGCGGCCGUAACUAUAACGGUCCUAAGGUAGCGAAAUUCCUUGUCGGGUAAGUUCCGACCUGCACGAAUGGCGUAAUGAUGGCCACACUGUCUCCUCCUGAGACUCAGCGAAGUUGAAAUGUUUGUGAUGAUGCAAUCUCCCCGCGGAAAGACGGAAAGACCCCAUGAACCUUUACUGUAGCUUUGUAUUGGACUUUGAACAGAUCUGUGUAGGAUAGGUGGGAGGCUUUGAAGUGUGGUCGCUAGAUCGCAUGGAGCCAACGUUGAAAUACCACCCUGGUGUGUUUGAGGUUCUAACCUAGGUCCAUUAUCUGGAUCGGGGACAGUGCAUGGUAGGCAGUUUGACUGGGGCGGUCUCCUCCCAAAGUGUAACGGAGGAGUUCGAAGGUACGCUAGGUACGGUCGGACAUCGUGCUAAUAGUGCAAUGGCAUAAGCGUGCUUAACUGCGAGACUGACAAGUCGAGCAGAUGCGAAAGCAGGACAUAGUGAUCCGGUGGUUCUGUAUGGAAGGGCCAUCGCUCAACGGAUAAAAGGUACUCUGGGGAUAACAGGCUGAUACCGCCCAAGAGUUCAUAUCGACGGCGGUGUUUGGCACCUCGAUGUCGGCUCAUCUCAUCCUGGGGCUGUAGCCGGUCCCAAGGGUAUGGCUGUUCGCCAUUUAAAGAGGUACGUGAGCUGGGUUUAAAACGUCGUGAGACAGUUUGGUCCCUAUCUUCCGUGGGCGCUGCAGAUUUGAGGAAGCCUGCUCCUAGUACGAGAGGACCGGAGUGGACGAACCUCUGGUGUAUCGGUUGUCACGCCAGUGGCAUUGCCGAGUAGCUAAGUUCGGAAGAGAUAACCGCUGAAAGCAUCUAAGCGGGAAACUCGUUUCAAGAUUAGAUCUGCCGGGGCCUUGAGCCCCCUAAAGAGUCGUUCAAGACCAGGACGCUGAUAGGUCAGGUGUGGAAGC